This 291-nucleotide non-coding RNA is filed under the name Phascolarctos cinereus (koala). The record is from RNAcentral. Lineage: Eukaryota; Metazoa; Chordata; Mammalia; Diprotodontia; Phascolarctidae.
AUUGGCCAAGGUGGUGCAUGCCUCUAAUCCCAGCUACCAAGGGACUGAGGCUGGUGAGUCUCUUGGGCCUAGGAGUUCUCAGCUGCAGUGGGCCAAGCCAGUCAGGUGCCUGCACUAAGUCUGGCAUCAGUAUAGUGAGCUCCUUCCAUGUGGAGAGCCACCAGGCUGCUUAGGGAGGGGCAAACCAUUCCAGGUCAGAAACAGCAGGUUAAAGUGAUCAUGCCUAUCAGUAGUGGUGGGAAGGAACCGUGAAUAGCUCCUACACUUCCAGCCCAGGGAGAUUCAGUCUUU